UGCCUGGACGUAACACGGCACCACCCCGCCCGCCAAAUAACUACGAGUGAAAACUUAAAACUUAAAAGACUUGACGGUACUUCACACCCAACCUAGAGGAGCCUGUCUACUAACCGAUAAUCCACGAUUAACCCAACCACUUCUAGCCACCCAGCCUAUAUACCACCGUCGCCAGCCUACCUUGUAAAAGAAACAAAGUGAGCCAAACAGUACUACACUAACACGACAGGUCAAGGUGUAACUAAUGAAGCGGACUAAGAUGGGCUACAUUCUCUACCCCAGAUUACACGAACAAGGCUAUGAAACUAACCUUUAAAGGCGGAUUUAGCAGUAAGCUGAGAACAAAAUACUCAACUGAAACCAAUGCAAUGAAGUGCGUACACACCGCCCGUCACCCUCUGCAGUCACUUUA
This 412-nucleotide ribosomal RNA is filed under the name Uropeltis cf. phipsonii. Its description in RNAcentral is "partial 12S ribosomal RNA". The record is from RNAcentral. Lineage: Eukaryota; Metazoa; Chordata; Lepidosauria; Squamata; Uropeltidae.